This 247-nucleotide ribosomal RNA is filed under the name Salmonella enterica subsp. enterica serovar Choleraesuis. Its description in RNAcentral is "partial 16S ribosomal RNA". It matches the Rfam family "Bacterial small subunit ribosomal RNA", at positions 1287 to 1533 of the family's 1533-position model. Lineage: Bacteria; Pseudomonadati; Pseudomonadota; Gammaproteobacteria; Enterobacterales; Enterobacteriaceae. The record is from RNAcentral.
CGUAGUCCGGAUUGGAGUCUGCAACUCGACUCCAUGAAGUCGGAAUCGCUAGUAAUCGUGGAUCAGAAUGCCACGGUGAAUACGUUCCCGGGCCUUGUACACACCGCCCGUCACACCAUGGGAGUGGGUUGCAAAAGAAGUAGGUAGCUUAACCUUCGGGAGAGCGCUUACCACUUUGUGAUUCAUGACUGGGGUGAAGUCGUAACAAGGUAACCGUAGGGGAACCUGCGGUUGGAUCACCUCCUUA